GAUGAACGCUGGCAGCGUGCCUAAUACAUGCAAGUCGAACGAGAGAUUUAUCUCCAGUGGCGAACGGGUGAGUAAUACAUAGGUAACCUGCCUUAUACAGGGGGACAACAGUUGGAAACGACUGCUAAUACCGCAUAAGCAUAACAAUCGCAUGAAUGAUAUGUAAAAGGUGCUGUAAGGCAUCGGUAUAAGAUGGACCUAUGGCGCAUUAGCUAGUUGGUAAGGUAACGGCUUACCAAGGCGACGAUGCGUAGCCGACCUGAGAGGGUGACCGGCCACAUUGGGACUGAGACACGGCCCAA
Molecule: ribosomal RNA, 302 nt
Filed under: uncultured bacterium
Lineage: Bacteria
Description: bacterial SSU rRNA
Rfam family: Bacterial small subunit ribosomal RNA
Source: RNAcentral